Molecule: long non-coding RNA, 459 nt
Filed under: Phoenix dactylifera (date palm)
Lineage: Eukaryota; Viridiplantae; Streptophyta; Magnoliopsida; Arecales; Arecaceae
Description: long non-coding RNA (PDAC_LNC017634)
Source: RNAcentral
UCUUUUUCUCCUCGUCUUCUUCGUCUCCGGCAAGAAACCGGCCUGUACCGGUUUCCACGGCUCCGCCGUACCGGUAGCUGGCCGGACCGGUUUGUACCGGCCCGUACCGGCCGGUACGGGCCGGUUCGGCAUACGCUGGUUCCAAGUUUAUAUUGCAAAUAAAUUCAUAAAUCAUUCUUUCCAUUUAGCCAAACGUAGUUUAAAACGUUACUCAUAGAUAUUCAUUCUGUGGCCACUUUAUACCCGUGACAGAGCUCGGAUUCAUAAUCAACAAAGCAUUAUGUUUCAUAAUGAUAACUCUAUACCUGUUGGCAGGGCCUGUGUUCGUAUGAAAGUAGUUACGGUGUCGAUUUUUCCUAGUACUAGGGGUCAUACAUAGCUAUCUAAGAGCCUUAAAAGCAUUUAUAUCCCUUUUCUUAAAGCAUACACAUAAGUAGAGAUGGGCAUUGCCGGCCCGGC